GUGUUUGUAAGAGCUGAUACAAGAGGAUUAAUGUUUAAGCACUCAUGUUGUAAGACAUGAAAGACUAGCAUUCAGGGACUUAUCCUCUUUUCCUCUUCCUAUUGCAGUGGAUUGAACCUAUAAGUUCACAUUGUGCGGAAAAACGUCAAUACCACCAGCCACUUGAUGUACAGGGAAAUGAACCCAGAUGUGCCAAGAAAUAUUUGGAAAAGGUGAAGAAGUAUUACAAAGGAAAAGACAUACAUUUUUGAUGCCAGGAAGAGCUCUCACAUCCCCUGGAAGCAGAGCGACAGGAGCGUGCUGAGUUCCUCCCAGGGCUCUGGAGAGCACUGCAGAGCCAGCUCCCACCACAGCACACCAAAUGCUGAGGAAAAGCUUUUUUAUUUUGUUUACAUGCACUUCUACUUGAGUCUCCUGCCAUUUAAUUUGUAAGUAGGUGACGGCUGCAAGUUUAUUACUAUUCUGUCAGAAAGAAGAAUUCGGUGCUCUAUAUUGUCUUCACUGUGUCAUCUCAUUUAUGCCACCUUGCUUGCUCUUCUGAAGUUGGUCAUUUAGGGAUUCUUUCAAAGGUGACUCUAGCAGCACACUCUCUCCAUCAGUUCAAGUAUUUUGCUCUCCAUCUUCUUCAGUAAACAAAGAGCCUGUGCUUGCUUCAUCAGAGAACAGAAUUGUCUGCCCACUAUGUGAACCCUCUUUCCUUUGGCUGACUAUGUAUGCAAAUUUGAUGCUCCGUUUUUCUCAGUAGAAUUUUCAUUUUAUGAUUUUAAGAUGAUUUUAAGAGUUGCAUAAUCUUUCU
RNAcentral lists this long non-coding RNA (796 nucleotides) under Numida meleagris (helmeted guineafowl). Its description in RNAcentral is "lncRNA (ENSNMEG00000018624.1)". Lineage: Eukaryota; Metazoa; Chordata; Aves; Galliformes; Numididae. The record is from RNAcentral.